RNAcentral lists this ribosomal RNA (448 nucleotides) under uncultured prokaryote. Its description in RNAcentral is "bacterial SSU rRNA". It matches the Rfam family "Bacterial small subunit ribosomal RNA", at positions 355 to 796 of the family's 1533-position model. The record is from RNAcentral.
UGGGGAAUCUUGGACAAUGGGCGGAAGCCUGAUGCAGCAACACCGUGUGGGCGAGGAAGGUCUUCGGAUCGUAAAGCCCUGUUGUUGGGGACGAAGGGCGAAGGGUUAAUAGCCCCUAGCCUGACGGUACCCUUCGAGGAAGCCCCGGCUAACUACGUGCCAGCAGCCGCGGUAAUACGUAGGGGGCGAGCGUUGUCCGGAAUUAUUGGGCGUAAAGAGCGUGUAGGCGGCCCGGUAAGUCCGCCGUGAAAACCUGGGGCUCAACCCUGGGCGUGCGGUGGAUACUGCUGGGCUAGAGGAUGGUAGAGGCGAGUGGAAUUCCCGGUGUAGCGGUGAAAUGCGCAGAGAUCGGGAGGAACACCGGUAGCGAAGGCGGCUCGCUGGGCCAUUCCUGACGCUGAGACGCGAAAGCGUGGGGAGCGAACAGGAUUAGAUACCCGCGUAGUCC